CAGUCGGCUACGAGGACGAACGCUGGCGGCGCGCUUAAUACAUGCAAGUCGAACGAGAAGCCAGAGCUUGCUCUGGUGGAAAGUGGCGAACGGGUGAGUAACACGUGAGAAACCUGCCCCAAAGAUUGGGAUAAGCCUUGGAAACGAGGUCUAAUACCAAAUACCUUCUUUUAACACAUGUUAAAAAGAGAAAUGCUCCGGCGCUUUGGGAUGGUCUCGCGAUCUAUCAGCUUGUUGGUGAGGUAACGGCUCACCAAGGCAUCGACGGAUAGCUGGUCUGAGAGGAUGUCCAGCCACAUUGGAACUGAGACACGGUCCAAACUCCUACGGGAGGCAGCAGUAGGGAAUCUUGCACAAUGAGGGAAACCUUGAUGCAGCGACGCCGCGUGCGGGACGAAGGCCCUAGGGUUGUAAACCGCUUUCAGUAGGGACGAAAGUGACGGUACCUACAGAAGAAGCCCCGGCCAACUAUGUG
RNAcentral lists this ribosomal RNA (475 nucleotides) under uncultured bacterium. RNAcentral's name for it is "bacterial SSU rRNA". It matches the Rfam family "Bacterial small subunit ribosomal RNA", at positions 26 to 507 of the family's 1533-position model. The record is from RNAcentral.